UACGUAGGCAGCAAGCGUUGUUCGGAGUUACUGGGCGUAAAGGGCGCGUAGGCGGCCUGCUAAGUCGAACGUGAAAUCCCCGGGCUCAACCCGGGAACUGCGUCCGAUACUGGCAGGCUUGAAUCCGGGAGAGGGAUGCGGAAUUCCAGGUGUAGCGGUGAAAUGCGUAGAUAUCUGGAGGAACACCGGUGGCGAAGGCGGCAUCCUGGACCGGCAUUGACGCUGAGGCGCGAAAGCUAGGGGAGCAAACGGG
Molecule: ribosomal RNA, 253 nt
Filed under: uncultured bacterium
Lineage: Bacteria
Description: partial 16S ribosomal RNA
Rfam family: Bacterial small subunit ribosomal RNA
Source: RNAcentral